CUGCAGACGUUUCUAACGAGGCUGAGCGGCCGUGGCUCUGUCCUCAUUACUCGCUCUGCUAGAGACACGAGGGGCCGUUUGAGGCCCUGCUGUGGCCCCCCGCUGCAGGGUUAUAGGUAGACCCCCGACAGGC
Molecule: small nucleolar RNA, 133 nt
Organism: Fundulus heteroclitus (mummichog)
Lineage: Eukaryota; Metazoa; Chordata; Actinopteri; Cyprinodontiformes; Fundulidae
Source: Ensembl